AUAGUCGUCUCCCAAAAUUUUAUUCUUCCUGUUAAAUUUUUAUUUGUAAAUAUAGUCUUAUGGCGGAGAAAUAAUAGCGAAAGCGGUAAAUAAUUCACCGCAUUCAUUAGACUUUUUACGAUCGUGUGGAAACGGUGAAUGGUUCACCGUUUUUAAAAACGAAAAAUCAUUCACCGCUUUCUUUCUUUUUCUAUUCCUUUUUAUAUCUCUGCAAUAGUUUUAGGAGUUAUAAAUGAAUGCGGUGGAUCAUUCACCGCAUUUAAAUGCGGUGGAUCAUUCAUAGUCUAUAUAAUUUAUUUUCUCAAAAUCUCAAUCUGAUAUAUUAGAGGUCUAUUUUUAUAAUUAAUUUUUUUUUAAAAAUAAAUUUUUUUACAAUUAUAAAAAUGGGUAGGAUUAUUUGUAAAAAAAAAUUCUCCAAAUUAAACUGCUAUAGUUCAUGCAAGCUUGAAAAGGCGUAAUUCUCCUAUUUUUAUUGUCCUCGCUGGUAAAAUUAGAAAAACACUAUCUGUCACGCCCCGGGGUCCCUUUUUAGUUUAAAACAAAGUGAAAAAGCGUCUGAAUUUUUUUUUGAAAACCUGACCCCAGAGUAUGCCAGAUCCGCCACAAAUACAGGGAAUCCACUGUUCACACGGACAGAGUCUCCCCUGUAUUUGCACGGCGUCGCACAAGUACAAGAAGUCAUCCAGGCACAACCACAACAAAUGAACAUACAAAUAACCAACAGUUAUACAUUCAUACACCAUUCACCACAGUUUCACAUUUAUAUAUUCGGUACUUAAACAUAAAUCCACAUCUAUCAGUUAAAAUGUUUCCAACCACAGAAAUAGGUUUUGAAAUACUAAGAUGCAAAAUCCACAGAAAACCUUUUGAAAACUGUUUCCUACACGAAAACCUUUAUUCUUUAAAAACGCUACCACGAGGGGUAGAAAACCUUUUAUUUUACAAAAUCCAGAAAUCCAUUUAUUACAUUCACGAAAAUCCAUAUUUUCAAAUGUAAUAAAAAUACUGAACCAUAUAACUAUCUAAGCUAUAACAACUGAAAUAAUAAGGGUAAUAACUAUACCGAAAUAACCUGGGUCGGAAGCUCUAUCGACCGCUACACACG
This 1105-nucleotide long non-coding RNA is filed under the name Ananas comosus (pineapple). Its description in RNAcentral is "long non-coding RNA (ACOM_LNC033584)". The record is from RNAcentral. Lineage: Eukaryota; Viridiplantae; Streptophyta; Magnoliopsida; Poales; Bromeliaceae.